RNAcentral lists this long non-coding RNA (318 nucleotides) under Hordeum vulgare. Its description in RNAcentral is "long non-coding RNA (HVUL_LNC002189)". Lineage: Eukaryota; Viridiplantae; Streptophyta; Magnoliopsida; Poales; Poaceae. The record is from RNAcentral.
UUGUUAUGGACCAUGAAAAUUCAGUUACUCCUACUUAUAUCAUAUAGAAAGUCCGGGGCUACAGUCGCGCAAGCCGUUAUUACUAUAACUGAGUGCUUGCUGGAGUUAGAAAGUGAGAGUCGUGGCUCGAAAGAAUUGGUUGGUUCUGAGAUGUUCGCUUCUCAUAUUGGAGCGUGUGUUUUAUUUGAGUUCUGAGAGAUGAGAGAUACACAGCUGAAACAGGAGAUGCAUGCAUGGUUCGUAGCCAGCUGAGUCCACAAAAACACGCAAGUCCCAGCUUACCAAGUGUCGGACAAUUUUUUGUUUUGACCUUUUACC